RNAcentral lists this long non-coding RNA (214 nucleotides) under Elaeis guineensis (African oil palm). RNAcentral's name for it is "long non-coding RNA (EGUI_LNC081491)". The record is from RNAcentral. Lineage: Eukaryota; Viridiplantae; Streptophyta; Magnoliopsida; Arecales; Arecaceae.
GCAGGAGGAGAGGCAACCCGGCGGCAAGAGCGGGCCAAACCGGUGGUCGGCGGUGACCACCGACGAUGAAAAAAUAGCAAAAAGAAAGAUUUCUUCCGCAACAAAAUCCGGCGACUCCGGUCGCCGGCGAGCGUGCACACCGGCACGGGAAGGAAAGGAGAGAAGAGAGAAAGGGGAGGAGACUUACCUCCGACGCCGGCGAAGCUUUUCCGGC